GGCGGCGGCUCGGAUCGAAAGGGCGGAACAGCCCCCGGAGCGGUAUAAAUAAGGGCGAGAUCUCGCGAGACUUGGCCACGCGGCGCCAUGGAGGGAGCGGCGGCGGCGCGGGGCCACCAUGUUGGGAGCGGUGGAGGGCACCGCCCUGCUCUGCCCGCAUCUCCUUCCCUGGUAAACGAACAACUAAGGUCUCUUUGCCUCCUGUCGCGGACCACCAGGACAGGAGCUCAUCCAUCGCUUCACAGCGCAUCCUAGGAGCCUCUGGCUCCUCUGAGCAGCUACCGGGAAGAAGACGGGGCUUGCAGCAAAAAGGACGGCUCAGUGUCCCCCAGGCCCCUGGCUCUGGGCCCGGUGCUCCCGGCGGGAUGGAGAGUCUGGGGCUGCCAGCAGUGACCCUCAGGGACAGCACCACAGCCUACCUGCAGCAGGCUGCCAGAGGUGAAAAGCUGAUUGAAGGACAAGUCAUUGAACUUGAAGAUGGGACCACAGCUUAUAUCCAUCAGGUGACAGUUCAGAAAGAGUCUGUGGCUUUGGAAGACGGUCAGCCAGUGGUGCUGGAAGAUGGCAGCAUGGCCUACAUACACAGCACAGCUGAAGACAGUUACGAUCCCGGCACCUUCCAGGCCAUCCAGGUGGAGGACGGCUCCACUGCCUACGUCCACCGUCCUGUCAUCGUAGCAGCUGGCAGCACCAUCCUGGAAGUGCAGACAGGAACUGGGCUCGAGGAGUUAGCUGGGGAGGAGGAAGAUGAUGCCUUUGGUGUGGGGACCAUGAAUGCAUUACAGCAGUACAGCAGUAAGGGGUCUGACAAGGAAGAGGAGGGAGUGACAGACACCUGCCGUAUGAACCGUACGGACUCCAGCAACGUCCCUUCUCAGGAUUUGCAGGAGGAGGAGGUGCACAGCCAUGGGAAGGGACAGCAGGUCAGCAGCAGAGCUUUCCCCUGUGGGUACAAAGGCUGUGGCCGCCUCUACACCACUGCCCACCACCGCAAGGUACAUGAACGUGCUCACACAGGUGACCGACCAUAUACAUGUGACUUCCCAAGUUGUGGGAAAGCAUUUGCUACAGGGUAUGGGCUGAAGAGCCACAUGAGAACACACACUGGUGAGAAACCAUACAAGUGUUCAGAAGAUAUGUGUAGCAAAGCCUUCAGAACCUCUGGGGAUUUACAGAAACACAUCCGCACACACACAGGUGAGCGUCCCUUCAAGUGCCCCUUCGUGGGCUGUGGCCGCUCCUUUACCACCUCCAACAUCCGCAAGGUUCACGUCCGGACGCACACGGGCGAGCGGCCGUACGCGUGUCCAGAGCCCGGCUGCGGGAGGGGCUUCACCAGUGCCACCAACUACAAGAACCACAUGAGAAUCCACACAGGAGAGAAGCCAUACCUGUGCACUGUGCCAGGCUGUGGGAAGCGCUUCACGGAGUACUCCAGCCUCUACAAGCACCACGUGGUGCACACGCACUGCAAGCCCUACACCUGCAGCAGCUGUGGGAAGACGUACCGCCAGACCUCCACGCUGGCCAUGCACAAGCGCAGCAGCCACGGCGAGCUGGAGGCCACGGAGGACAGUGAGCGGGCCCUCUUUGAGCGGCUGCGGCUGGAGGUUGCUGCUGCUGACAGAGGGUGCCUGCUGAAGAGCCAGCAUAUUGCUUUCCUGUCGGAGAUGGAGGAAGAUGAAGAAGAUGAUGUUGUGCCUACACAGGUCUCACUUAUCUCUCAGGAUGGAACAGAGCAGGUCAGUCUGUCGCAGGAAGAGCUGCGGGCCCUGGGCAGUGCCAUCAGUGUGGUGACACAGAGUGGGGCCCUUGCCGUGCCCAAGGGAGAGCUGACGGGUGACACUCGCACCGUGACUGUGGCCAGCACCGAUGGCACCGAGACGCAGGGGGUGACUGUAGUCGCUUCUGGGGCAGUCGUGUCAGAGGAAUCCGCCGUUGCCCCUCUCCAUCAUCAGCAGGUGGCAUUGCUGGCCACUGCCCACGGCACCCACAUCACUGUGCAGAUGCCCUGCAUACAGAGGACAGCACAGGGAUGUGCUCCUGGGAUUGCAGAAUGCUCUUGUCUGGAAGAGCAGCAGAGCCUGGAGGAAGGCGUCAGCAUGGCUGCAGCAGUAAUCCACUAUGGACCGGUGACGUCUGACACAGCCGUAUCUGAGAAAGGGAGCUGAGCUGUAGGGAUUAAAGAAAUUGAGGAGAUUUGUGGAAUUGACCGAAUGUGUCCUGCCAAAGCAGCGACUGUCCCAGAGGAGGGCAGGGAGCAGGGUUUUGGCUCUUCCAGGGACCCCUGCAAGCCCAGAUUUGCGGAACUGUGUCAGUGAACACAUCUUACAGGCCCCUGAGCUGGGGAGACAGGCUUGGGCAGGUGCCCUCAGCCCUUCCACUGCCCCAGGCACUGGGCAGACAGAGCCAGCACGGGAAGCACCACAGAACCAUUUUGGCUGGAAAAGACCUUUGAGAUCGUUGAGUCCAGCUGUAAACCUGAGCCCAGUGCAGGCUCCCGGCAGUCAGGUGGAUUAUUUUCUGGACGUCCCCGAGGAGUUUGCAGAGGAAGAGGUUUCUGCGGGCACGGAACGGGCACAACCCGGGAGGGUGCAGCACGCUGGGUCUCCCCACACCUGCCCUGAUGCGAUUGAUGGCAAAACAAGGAGAGCUGGAGCCGUUCCAAAGCGCAGCCCAUGCUCCCGCUGCGAGGGGAAGCUCUGCGUCUCAGUCCCGGGAGGGGAAGCUGAUGCUUGAGCCAGGGAGGAGAUUUCUCUCCCCAGAGCGCAAAUGCCGACGAAGCGUUUGAUGUGUGGGCCGAGCCGAGCGCAGGGUCCGUGAGCCCCGGCGGCGCGGGGAGCGGAG
RNA transcript from Chiroxiphia lanceolata (lance-tailed manakin), 2847 nucleotides. It is a transcript of the gene named zinc finger protein 76, with no coding region annotated. The transcript has 18 exons. The record is from RefSeq and is a predicted model, not a curated record. Lineage: Eukaryota; Metazoa; Chordata; Aves; Passeriformes; Pipridae.